This 507-nucleotide ribosomal RNA is filed under the name uncultured bacterium. RNAcentral's name for it is "partial 16S ribosomal RNA". It matches the Rfam family "Bacterial small subunit ribosomal RNA", at positions 28 to 507 of the family's 1533-position model. The record is from RNAcentral.
GACGAACGCUGGCGGCGUGCCUAAUACAUGCAAGUCGAACGCAUUUUCUUUCACCGUAGCUUGCUACACCGAAAGAAAAUGAGUGGCGAACGGGUGAGUAACACGUCGGCAACCUGCCCAUCAGCGGGGGAUAACACUUGGAAACAGGUGCUAAUACCGCAUAAUUCCAUUUACCGCAUGGUAGAGGGAUGAAAGGCGCUUUUGCGUCACUGAUGGAUGGACCCGCGGUGCAUUAGCUAGUUGGUGGGGUAACGGCCUACCAAGGCUGCGAUGCAUAGCCGACCUGAGAGGGUGAUCGGCCACACUGGGACUGAGACAAGGCCCAGACUCCUACGGGAGGCAGCAGUAGGGAAUCUUCGGCAAUGGACGCAAGUCUGACCGAGCAACGCCGCGUGAGUGAAGAAGGUUUUCGGAUCGUAAAACUCUGUUGUUAGAGAAGAACAAGGAUGAGAGUGGAAAGUUCAUCCCUUGACGGUAUCUAACCAGAAAGCCACGGCUAACUACGUG